CCACGAGAGCCGCAGCCAACGACGAGACGAACUCCGACACGGGGCCAUAGCUCAGCGGAGCGAAGUGCUCGGGAUCCUCGUUGGAGGGUGUCGGGGACGGGAGACACUGUCCGAAGCCGUGGCGCAGGUAUGUAGUAGUUGCUGAAUUCGUGCUCGGGGUCGUCGACGAGCCAAUCGGCGCUUGGUCCGCCCAGCAGCCACGCCAUGGGCAGAACGGCGAACGCCGACGGUGGAGGCAGCAGUUCGUCGGGGUCCGUGGUGACGUUGGAGGCAGAGGCCUCUUCGUAUUCGUCCUCGACGACGAACAUCCCCUGCAUGGCAACAACUUCUUCGGCUGCGAUCUCCGACACGGCAGCGAC
Molecule: long non-coding RNA, 359 nt
Filed under: Triticum aestivum (bread wheat)
Lineage: Eukaryota; Viridiplantae; Streptophyta; Magnoliopsida; Poales; Poaceae
Description: long non-coding RNA (TAES_LNC016796)
Source: RNAcentral